UUCUUUCUCCCAAACCAGAGCAUGACAAAGGGGACAUUCCAUGAUCCCAUUAGUUGCCUUUUUAAGAGAUCGUGACGUCUUCCCAGAAUUGCGUGAUGUCCCUGAAGUGCGUGAUGACUUCCCUAAAGUGUGGGGUCUGGAGCCUACGCAAACAAAUGUUGCCCAAAGUUAGUAUGGGUGAUUGGUCAUUUCAUAUUUGAAGAGAGUAGGUGAAUCUGUUAUUUCCAUAUUCAAAAAGUUGAAGACAAAGGAGGAGAAAGCUAGUCCAUGGUCGGAUAUCUUUUUGCUUACUUGGGUGCUUUCGGAUUGACUUCUUUGAUAAUAGUAUGGCUCGCCGCAUUUCCCUUGCUCUUCUUUGAGUAUCUGCAGGUUUAUGGGUGAAGCUUACCUUUACGGUUUGAGUUUUCGCCAGAGGAGCUAGGGAUCAUUGACGACGUGUCUGAUCGGAGGAGAGUGUUUUGUCUGUGGCGUUUGUUCCAUUCAGUUGCUGUUGGAUCGUCUGUUUUCCUUUUUCCCAUGAUGAACAGUUGUGAUUUUGGUGUAAAAACUCUGUGCGUGUUAGUCCUAAAGACGGGGUGUAGGAAUUCUGAUGAACAGUCGUGGUCUUGUUGGUCUGAUUACGUAACGUAUAUUUGUUGUGGAGACAUUUACAUAAUGAACCCCAUUUAUUUUCACUAUA
Brassica oleracea var. oleracea is the source of this 679-nucleotide long non-coding RNA. RefSeq lists it as uncharacterized. Lineage: Eukaryota; Viridiplantae; Streptophyta; Magnoliopsida; Brassicales; Brassicaceae. The transcript has 2 exons. The record is from RefSeq and is a predicted model, not a curated record.